AACGAACGCUGGCGGCAUGCCUAACACAUGCAAGUCGAACGAGACCUUCGGGUCUAGUGGCGCACGGGUGCGUAACGCGUGGGAACCUGCCCUUAGGUUCGGAAUAACUCCCCGAAAGGGGUGCUAAUACCGGAUAAUGUCUUCGGACCAAAGAUUUAUCGCCUUUGGAUGGGCCCGCGUUGGAUUAGCUAGUUGGUAGGGUAAAAGCCUACCAAGGCGACGAUCCAUAGCUGGUCUGAGAGGAUGCUCAGCCACACUGGGACUGAGACACGGCCCAGACUCCUACGGGAGGCAGCAGUGGGGAAUAUUGGACAAUGGGCGAAAGCCUGAUCAAGCAAUGCCGCGUGAGUGAUGAAGGCCUUAGGGUUGUAAAGCUCUUUUACCCGGGAUGAUAAUGACAGUACCGGGAGAAUAAGCUCCGGCUAACUCCGUG
This 433-nucleotide ribosomal RNA is filed under the name uncultured bacterium. Its description in RNAcentral is "partial 16S ribosomal RNA". It matches the Rfam family "Bacterial small subunit ribosomal RNA", at positions 29 to 507 of the family's 1533-position model. The record is from RNAcentral.